CCCCUUGAGUGCGCCGCGUCCUGCGCCUAUAUUCGAGUUGUUCCGGGUUCGCUCGGGACUAUGGCGAUAAACGCGCCCGUAAUAAGCGGAUCGGACCCGGGGGCGGUACCCGGCGGCUCCACCAAGAACCCUCGUUGGGGGAAGACGGGGCCGAAACAGGAUCGACGAACGUGUAAAGGGGAUUGCUUUUGCCCGGUGAGCUACCACCGUUAUCGGUGCACAAAGUACAGUUGCCAACGACAACCGUGCUCCGGUGGCCCUGGCUGCGUAAGCAGUUCGGGUGACCGAAAUCUAAGUCCGGCGGCCUAGCAGCUGUCCGGCGGGGUUCGCAGGCACCUGGCAACAGAAGCCUGCACU
Molecule: transfer-messenger RNA, 357 nt
Filed under: Paracoccaceae bacterium
Lineage: Bacteria; Pseudomonadati; Pseudomonadota; Alphaproteobacteria; Rhodobacterales; Paracoccaceae
Rfam family: Alphaproteobacteria transfer-messenger RNA
About the family: Bacterial tmRNA, also known as 10Sa RNA or SsrA, is named for its dual tRNA and mRNA-like properties. Its role is to liberate the mRNA from a stalled ribosome. To accomplish this part of the tmRNA is used as a reading frame that ends in a translation stop signal.
Source: RNAcentral